GAUGAACGCUGGCGGCGUGCUUAACACAUGCAAGUCGAACGAUUAAAGCCCCUUUGGGGGUGUAUAAAGUGGCGAACGGGUGAGUAACACGUGGGCACUCUGCCCCUCACUUCGGGAUAACUCAGGGCAACUUGAGCUAAUACCGGAUACUCCGGGAUGACCGCAUGGUCGACCCGGGAAAGCUCCGACGGUGAGGGAUGAGCCCGCGGCCCAUUAGCUUGUUGGUAGGGUAACGGCCUACCAAGGCGACGACGGGUAGCCGAGGGGGGAGGCUGAUCGGCCACACUGGGACUGAGACACGGCCCAGACUCCUACGGGAGGCAGCAGUGGGGAAUAUUGGACAAUGGGCGCAAGCCUGAUCCAGCCAUGCCGCGUGAGUGAUGAAGGCCUUAGGGUUGUAAAGCUCUUUCACCGAUGAAGAUAAUGACGGUAGUCGGAGAAGAAGCCCCGGCUAACUUCGUGCCAGCCGCCGCCGUAA
RNAcentral lists this ribosomal RNA (478 nucleotides) under uncultured bacterium. Its description in RNAcentral is "partial 16S ribosomal RNA". It matches the Rfam family "Bacterial small subunit ribosomal RNA", at positions 28 to 523 of the family's 1533-position model. The record is from RNAcentral.